AACGCGAAGAACCUUACCUACUCUUGACAUCCAGAGGAUUCGCUAGAGAUAGCUUAGUGCCUUCGGGAACUCUGAGACAGGUGCUGCAUGGCUGUCGUCAGCUCGUGUUGUGAAAUGUUGGGUUAAGUCCCGCAACGAGCGCAACCCUUAUCCUUUGUUGCCAGCGAGUAAUGUCGGGAACUCAAAGGAGACUGCCGGUGACAAACCGGAGGAAGGUGGGGAUGACGUCAAGUCAUCAUGGCCCUUACGAGUAGGGCUACACACGUGCUACAAUGGCAUAUACAAAGAGAAGCGAACUCGCGAGAGCAAGCGGACCUCACAAAGUAUGUCGUAGUCCGGAUCGGAGUCUGCAACUCGACUCCGUGAAGUCGGAAUCGCUAGUAAUCGUAGAUCAGAAUGCUAUGGUGAAUACGUUCCCGGGUCUUGUACACACCG
RNAcentral lists this ribosomal RNA (435 nucleotides) under uncultured Hafnia sp. Its description in RNAcentral is "bacterial SSU rRNA". It matches the Rfam family "Bacterial small subunit ribosomal RNA", at positions 958 to 1392 of the family's 1533-position model. The record is from RNAcentral. Lineage: Bacteria; Pseudomonadati; Pseudomonadota; Gammaproteobacteria; Enterobacterales; Hafniaceae.